Molecule: ribosomal RNA, 497 nt
Filed under: uncultured bacterium
Lineage: Bacteria
Description: partial 16S ribosomal RNA
Rfam family: Bacterial small subunit ribosomal RNA
Source: RNAcentral
GAUGAACGCUAGCGGCGUGCCUAAUACAUGCAAGUCGAGCGAACAGACGAGGAGCUUGCUCCUCUGGCGUUAGCGGCGGACGGGUGAGUAACACGUGGAUAACCUACCUAUAAGACUGGGAUAACUUCGGGAAACCGGAGCUAAUACCGGAUAAUAUAUUGAACCGCAUGGUUCAAUAGUGAAAGACGGUUUUGCUGUCACUUAUAGAUGGAUCCGCGCCGCAUUAGCUAGUUGGUAAGGUAACGGCUUACCAAGGCGACGAUGCGUAGCCGACCUGAGAGGGUGAUCGGCCACACUGGAACUGAGACACGGUCCAGACUCCUACGGGAGGCAGCAGUAGGGAAUCUUCCGCAAUGGGCGAAAGCCUGACGGAGCAACGCCGCGUGAGUGAUGAAGGUCUUCGGAUCGUAAAACUCUGUUAUUAGGGAAGAACAAAUGUGUAAGUAACUAUGCACGUCUUGACGGUACCUAAUCAGAAAGCCACGGCUAACUACGUG